Molecule: non-coding RNA, 355 nt
Organism: Dermacentor albipictus
Lineage: Eukaryota; Metazoa; Arthropoda; Arachnida; Ixodida; Ixodidae
Source: RefSeq, a predicted model, not a curated record
AGAAGAAGAACAGAGCCCGUCUUGCUGCUCGCUGGUCUCACUAUCGUCCCGAAGAUUCCUUUGUGACAUUUAUUGCGACGAGGAGCCUCCGGCGUCAUCAUGGCCACGGCGGCGCGCACGUUCCGAUCGGCGUCACCGCCUUCUGAGCCAUCACGUGGUAUGACGUCAACUGGUACCUUGACACCAGAUGGACUGUCUCCAGCUGUGCGGUCCCAGGCUGGAAACACUCCCGACGGCAGAUGCCCUACCAAAGAGCGAAUACAGAGUCCAGCAACGCUUGCAAAAACAACGGGUAAGUAUUUCAGCACUGCGAUAUUGCAGACAUUCAUCUAGGUACACGGUUGCAUUGUGAAUA